UUCAUCAUAUUAAUAUGGUACGUGAGUUGGGUUA
This 34-nucleotide ribosomal RNA is filed under the name Babesia vogeli. Its description in RNAcentral is "partial large subunit ribosomal RNA LSU5". The record is from RNAcentral. Lineage: Eukaryota; Apicomplexa; Aconoidasida; Piroplasmida; Babesiidae.